CAAACCUGCAUUAACAUUUAAAGAAGGCAGGCCAAGCAUGGUGGCUCAUGUUUGUAAUCCCAGCACUUUGUAAGGCCAAGGCGGGAGAAUCACUUGGGUGCAGAAGUUUGAGACCAGCCUGGGCAACAUAGUGAGACCCCAUCUCUAUAAAAAUUUUUAGCCCUCACUCGCCGCCGACGACCUGUCUCGCUGCGUGCACGCCCUGCCGCCGCCCCGCAGAAAUGCUUCGGUUACCCACAGUCUUUCGCCAGAUGAGACUGGUGUCCAGGGUGCUGGCUCCUCAUCUCACUGGGGCUUAUGCCAAAGAUGUAAAAUUCGGUGCAGAUGCCCGAGCCUUAAUGCUUCAAGGUAUAGACCUUUUAGCCGAUGCUGUAGCCCUUACAAUGGGGCCAAAGGGAAGAAGAACAGUGAUUAUCGAGCAGAGCUGGGGAAGUCCCAAAGUAACAAAAGAUGGUGUGACUGUUGCAAAGUCAAUUGACUUAAAGGAUAAAUAUAAAAACAUUGGAGCUAAACUUGUUCAAGAUGUUGCCAAUAACACAAAUGAAGAGACUGGGGAUGGCCCUACCACUGCUACUGUACUGGCACGCUCUAUAGCCAAGGAAGGCAUCGAGAAGAUUAGCAAAGGUGCUAAUCCAGUGGAAAUCAGGAGAGGUGUGAUGUUAGUUGUUGAUGCUGUAAUUGCUGAACUUAAAAAGCAGUCUAAACCUGUGACCACCCCUGAAGAAAUUGCACAGGUUGCUACAAUUUCUGCAAACGGAGACAAAGAAAUUGGCAAUAUCUCUGAUGCAAUGAAAAAGGUUGGAAGAAAGGGUGUCAUCACAGUAAAGGAUGGAAAAACACUGAAUGAUGAAUUAGAAAUUAUUGAAGGCAUAAAGUUUGAUCGAGGCUAUAUUUCUCCAUACUUUAUUAAUACAUCAAAAGGUCAGAAAUGUGAAUUCCAGGAUGCCUAUGUUCUGUUGAGCGAAAAGAAAAUUUCUAGUGUCCAGUCCGUUGUACCUGCUCUUGAAAUUGCCAAUGCUCACCGUAAGCCUUUGGUCAUAAUCGCUGAAGACGUUGAUGGAGAAGCUCUAAGUACACUCGUCUUGAAUAGGCUAAAGGUUGGUCUUCAGGAUGUGGCAAUCAAGGCUCCAGGGUUUGGUGACAAUAGAAAGAACCAGCUUAAAGAUAUGGCAAUUGCUACUGGUGGUGCAGUGUUUGGAGAAGAGGGGCUGACCCUAAAUCUUGAAGAUGUUCAGCCUCAUGACUUAGGAAACGUUGGAGAGGUCAUUGUGACCAAAGAUGAUGCCACGCUCUUAAAAGAAAAAGGUGACAAGGCUCAAAUUGAAAAACGUAUUCAAGAAAUCAUUGAGCAGUUAGAUGUCACAACUAGUGAAUAUGAAAAGGAAAAACUGAAUGAACGGCUGGCAAAACUUUCAGAUGUAGUAGCUGUGCUGAAGGUUGGUGGGACAAGUGAUGUUGAAGUGAAUGAAAAGAAAGACAGAGUUCGGAUGCCCUUAAUGCUACAAGAGCUGCUGUUGAAGAAGGCUUUGUAUUGGGAGGGGGUUGUGCCCUGCUUCGAUGCAUUCUAGCCUUGGACUCAUUGACUCCAGCUAAUGAAGAUCAAAAAAUUGGUACAGAAAUUAUUAAAGAACACUCAAAAUUCCAGCAAUGACCAUUGCUAAGAAUGCAGGUGUUGAAGGAUCUUCGAUAGUUGAGAAAAUUACGCAAAUUUCCUCAGAAGCUGGUUAUGAUGCUAUGGUUGGAGAUUUUGUGAAUAUGGUGGAAAAAUGAAUUAUUGACCCAACAAAGGUUGUGAGAACUGCUUUAUUGGAUGCCGCUGGUGUGACCUCUCUGUUAACUACAGCAGAAGUUGUAGUCACAGAAAUUCCUAAAGAAGAGAAGGACCCUGGAAUGGGUGCAAUGGGUAGAAUGGGAGGUGGUAUGGGAAGUGGCAUGUUCUAACUCCUAGACUAGUGCUUUACCUUUAUUAAUGAACUGUGACAGGAAGCCCAAGGCAGUGUUCCUCACCAAUAACUUCAGAGAAGUCAGUUGGAGAAAAAUGAAGAAAAAGGCUGGCUGAAAAUCACUAUAACCAUCAGUUACUGGUUUCAGUUGACAAAAUAUAUAAUGGUUUACUGCUGUCAUUGUCCAUGCCUAUAGAUAAUUUAUUUUGUAUUUUUGAAUAAAAAACAUUUGUACAUUCCUGAUACUGGGUAAAAGAGCCAUGUACCAAUGUAUGGCUUUCAACUUAAAUCACUGAGGCAUUUUUACUACUAUUCUGUUAAAAUCAGGAUUUUUAGUGCUUGCCACCACCAGAUGAGAAGUUAAGCAGCCUUUCUGUGGAGAGUGAGAAUAAUUGUGUACAAAGUAG
RNAcentral lists this long non-coding RNA (2350 nucleotides) under Homo sapiens (human). Its description in RNAcentral is "non-protein coding lnc-RBMS2-4:1". The record is from RNAcentral. Lineage: Eukaryota; Metazoa; Chordata; Mammalia; Primates; Hominidae.